This 370-nucleotide long non-coding RNA is filed under the name Mytilus galloprovincialis (Mediterranean mussel). The record is from RNAcentral. Lineage: Eukaryota; Metazoa; Mollusca; Bivalvia; Mytilida; Mytilidae.
CGUCUUUCAUGUCAGAGGAAACGAUAUCAGGAUAUAAAUGGUGGUUUAGUUGUUAGUAACGUUGCUACGUCAGAUGUAGAAGCCAUCUUUCCGCUUGGCCCAAUUUCAGAUGAGACAUCUCCGCGGGUCUGCCUGUCAUCAUCCUCUGUCUGGGCUUGCCGUAGCUGACGACAUAGACUUUUCACCAAAAAAAUCAGAAAGUCAGAACACUUUUCUGCGAUUGAUACAUCUUGUUUACAUAAACUAAUUGAUGAUACAUAAAAGACCGUGCAUACUGCUUUAGAAAUGAUUGAACGUUAUCCUCAUAUUUCCAUUCUUGUUACAUUUGGAUACAUACGAGUUUAACUCCUACGAACACAUUUUUUUUUAA